UAGGGUGUGAAAGAGAAGAAGAAGAUGGGACUGGGAAGCAAAGCGGGAGAGUGGGCGUUCAAAGGCCUCACUGCUGGUCUAGGAUUAGCCACCAUUUAUCUGACCGCUACUUUCUCUGUUAAUGUUUACCGAGGCCUCGCCUGGCACAACUCUCAAUCCAAAAAUGAGAAGCAGGGCUCCAAUGAGCAAUCCACUUGAUACAGGCUUCCUUGCUGCUAGGAAACCCGUCUUAUAGUUUUCAGAAUUUGUGCUGUUGUUGCCUUGUAGGAAUCUCUUAACAAAAACUUAUUUUUUAAUGCUUUACCAGAAGGGUUAUGAUCUCAUAUUCAAGUAUGUGAGGCCUCUCAGGCUUGCUUUUUGUUCUUGUUUUUCUUGUAUAAAGUUUGGAAUACAUUUUGGUUUGGAGUAUAUGGAUAAUUGUUUAGUAUGC
Long non-coding RNA from Hibiscus syriacus, 430 nucleotides. RefSeq lists it as uncharacterized. The record is from RefSeq and is a predicted model, not a curated record. Lineage: Eukaryota; Viridiplantae; Streptophyta; Magnoliopsida; Malvales; Malvaceae. The transcript has 2 exons.